GUACAGUGAGACAAAACGAUGACCGCACUGACGGCGAAUCCUUCAGAGAUGAUUGUUUAUAUCUGCGUCCUUUUUGUACAAUAGAGUACAGAAUACAUCCUGUGUCCAACUAAUGCAGAGUAUAUUCAAGCUGCCAACACACUGAUGUGAAGAACCCUUUCCAGAGAAAUAUAGAAAGAAAUGACUGUGAAGCUUGUGUUGGGG
Molecule: long non-coding RNA, 204 nt
Organism: Carassius auratus (goldfish)
Lineage: Eukaryota; Metazoa; Chordata; Actinopteri; Cypriniformes; Cyprinidae
Exons: 3
Source: RefSeq, a predicted model, not a curated record